This 253-nucleotide ribosomal RNA is filed under the name uncultured bacterium. Its description in RNAcentral is "partial 16S ribosomal RNA". It matches the Rfam family "Bacterial small subunit ribosomal RNA", at positions 524 to 776 of the family's 1533-position model. The record is from RNAcentral.
UACAGAGGCCUCAAGCGUUAGGCGGAAUCACUGGGCUUAAAGCGUGUGUAGGCGGAUCGUUAAGUGUCUUGUGAAAUCCCACGGCUCACCCGUGGAACUGCUGGGCAUACUGGCGAUCUUGGGCCAACUAGGGGCAACUGGAACAAGCGGUGGAGCGGUGAAAUGCGUAGAUAUCGCUUGGAACGCCAAAGGUGAAAACAGGCUGCUGGGGUUGCGCCGACGCUGAGACACGAAAGCCAGGGGAGCAAACGGG